UGGCUUUUUCCAAACGCUCUUUGGGAACACCAACCGCACACACACAAAAAAGAAACCGUUAUCGCCCUCGCAAGAUGAAUUUUCGACUGGUGGUAUACGCUGUCUGCCACGUACGAGCUUCCAGCAGUGAGUGUGCCACGUAAGAGCCAAGUGAUAUUUACUCCGUAUCUCGUCGGAUGACCAUUGCUGAGCCAAAGGCGUACGGCAGUUACUGCAGCUGGACAUCGGUGGACGUAGAUGUUAUGGUCAAUCUGAGUCACGGUAGUGCAUUUUCCCUGUUUCAGUGUUGGUUUUGUAAAUUCUGUUGUAGCUACGAAACGAACAGGGAAACAGCACUCAGAAAGGACAAGGUGUAGCAGAACAUCUCCGGACAUCUAUUUACCAUGACGACCUACAGUAAAAUGAGACAACUCGUCAUGGAUUUCAAUAUUUAUUGGUAUGAGGACGGCGACAUUUUCCUUGGAGUUGAUGAUCCUGGGUAACGUCCCGCAUGCCGCACACAUCAUCACCCGAUUGGGACCAGGAAUCGCCAGCGUUGGUUGGCUGUUCGACAUCGGACCAGUGAUCGCCAGUCAUUUCGUCGUCGGUGGUGGCAGGUAGUUCUCCGGAACCCAAGUCCUUCUACGACUUCCAGAAGGUUGCAACAGGUACUGCA
This is a long non-coding RNA of Ornithodoros turicata, 655 nucleotides long. RefSeq lists it as uncharacterized. The transcript has 3 exons. The record is from RefSeq and is a predicted model, not a curated record. Lineage: Eukaryota; Metazoa; Arthropoda; Arachnida; Ixodida; Argasidae.